This 76-nucleotide small RNA is filed under the name Xanthomonas codiaei. RNAcentral's name for it is "sX9 sRNA". It matches the Rfam family "Xanthomonas sRNA sX9". Lineage: Bacteria; Pseudomonadati; Pseudomonadota; Gammaproteobacteria; Lysobacterales; Lysobacteraceae. The record is from RNAcentral.
AUGUACCGCUCCUACACACGGGUUCCUCCGCCUCGUCCGCACCCACCUGACGACCGCUCGCUACGUUUUGGUAGCC